This is a long non-coding RNA of Nannospalax galili (Upper Galilee mountains blind mole rat), 1749 nucleotides long. RefSeq lists it as uncharacterized. The transcript is spliced from 4 exons. The record is from RefSeq and is a predicted model, not a curated record. NCBI's taxonomy places the organism in Eukaryota, Metazoa, Chordata, Mammalia, Rodentia, Spalacidae.
UGCUAGUAGGGUUUUUCUGGCGGCGCGCAGGGCUCUGAGCCUAAGCCUGCGAUCUAGGACCUGCUGAUGAACUGCAAGGGUUUGAUCCACAUCUGGAGUCCGAGCACGCACGUCACUCACACUGUGACCCAGGCAGACUGCGGUGCCCGCUGUUACGCAGAAAGUGGGGCUCGUGGAAGAGUCCUCACCGGCUUGAACUUUCAGCACCAGGUACAGUCAUCCAAAUGGGCGAGCUCCCAGAGCAGUCCUAGGACAGAAGUUAGGACCAAACCCCGUCCUCUCUGUCAUCAGGUGUGAAGCAGGCUGAGUAAUUGAGUCCAUCACAUUCUUAUAUUAAGAAGGAGCUCACCUGGACCAGUCCUGCAGGGGUCUACUUGAUGGAAGCAAUGACCUUGGCCCUCUGCUCCUGAUUCAGACAAGCAAAAUGAAGGUCCCCACAAAGUGAUCUCAUAGGACACAACACCGAGGAACAAGGACAGAUUUCCUGCAAGGCUUGUAAAACUGGGGGGAGAUGUUCAAAAAGAAAAGCUGUUAUCGUGAAUCUAAAUACUAUGGAGAAGGUAAAGAAGUUGGAAAGGAAACAGAAACUCCUGCUGGCCUACUAAUCACCAGGCAUGUCAUAUGCAUUACCUCCAGGCACUGUGCAGGACUGAGCUGGCCCAGGCAUCCACACACUGUUCCCAUCUCAGCAGUACUGAUCCAGGCUAAGUAGCUGCCCUUGGACCCUACACAGUACCAUCAGGAUCUUGGGUGCUAGACUCAGGAGGAUCAUUUUUGAAAACUCCCCAAGGGAUUUUACAGUACAUCCAAUGUUUAUCUCUUAUGAACACAUAAAAUCUGCCCUCCCCUUAGCCUCUGCUCCCCACCAUAAGGUCAGGCUCCUGCCUCUUCCUUCUUUCUUAGGCUUGCUGGCAGGUCACUGUGUCUCCACUCCCUCCAACCUCUGAGUCCAGUUCCCUGGAGGAAGAACUUAAAUUCUGCCUCUGGCUAUGUCUACAGAAGUUCCUGGGGCCCUGUAACACUGAUCCUUCCCUGCCUCCUGGCCUGGCCCUUCCCAUCUGAGCACGCAUGUAUCCGUGUACACACACAUGUGCGCGCACAUACAAUGACUGAAGUAAAUCUGAAAUGUGGGACUGUUUCAUCUGUAAGAGACUUAACCCAGCAUAGAUAUUCACCAGGAAAACAAGUGCCACUAAAAUGAGAACUCGCAGUCUUUUCUUUAACACCCAGAACUAUCACUUUUCUAUAGUGACUCACCUCCCAGAAACUAGGGUGGUAGGAGCACCCCUGUCUCUCACAACUGUGGGGCACAGUGGGUACAAAUGCACGACAGGCUGAGUGGCAGCUCUCACAGACAGGCACAGACGGGCUAUGUGCUUUGCUCCAGGGAAGUCUGCACACAUUGAUCACUCAGCCUUGGUCUCUCCUCAUCCUCUUAAACAUCUACCCUGUCGUCCUCACUCCAGGUUACCAUGAGCCCCUAGUGGCCCAGUUCAGAUGCCCAUAUGCAGUCCUCAUUCAUCCUGAGUGCCCCUCAGCCCUAGAGCACACACAGCCACUUGACACCUCCCAGGUCUUGGUGUGGGGGCUCACCAUUCCUGGGUCUAUGAAAGUAGUGGGUCAAUGGUUCCUUCUGUGAAUCAUCCCUGGAGGCAGGGAAGCCCAUGUUUCUAUCCUAGGGCUUUUUAAAAAAGUGUCUGUGUAGUCCAGACUGGACUUGAACUCACAAUGUAGGUGAAGAUAACCUUG